GACGAACCGAGCGAACGUUGUUCGGAAUCACUGGGCUUAAAGGGCGCGUAGGCGGGUGUUCAAGUCCGUGGUGAAAUCCUCCAGCUCAACUGGAGAACUGCCUCGGAUACUGAAUGUCUCGAGGGUGGCAGGGGUAUGCGGAACUAUCGGUGGAGCGGUGAAAUGCGUUGAUAUCGAUAGGAACUCCGGUGGCGAAGGCGGCAUACUGGUCCACUUCUGACGCUGAGGCGCGAAAGCCAGGGGAGCAAACGGG
Molecule: ribosomal RNA, 253 nt
Filed under: uncultured bacterium
Lineage: Bacteria
Description: partial 16S ribosomal RNA
Rfam family: Bacterial small subunit ribosomal RNA
Source: RNAcentral